Long non-coding RNA from Bos taurus (domestic cattle), 1432 nucleotides. NCBI's taxonomy places the organism in Eukaryota, Metazoa, Chordata, Mammalia, Artiodactyla, Bovidae. The record is from Ensembl.
CAGCCAUCAUGGCAAGAAGACACUCAAGCAGCCCAACAGGCAAGUCCAGGUGCUGAGGAACUGAGGCCCACAGCCGUGGGAGUGACCCCUGGGGAAGGGGAAUUCUCCAGCCCCAGCCAGGCCUUCAGAUGACUGCAGCUCUGGCCAGCUUCACUACAAAUCCCACGAGACUCCUGCAAAAAAAACCAUCCUCUUCCUGUUGAAGGUUCUAGAUUGACGAAUUGGACCAUGUUGCCAGCUGUCCUUUUCUCUCUUCCCUGUUUUUCUGGGCACAAAGCCACUUGAGAAGGUGGAGCGGGGCCGGAGCGCAAGAGACCAGCACAACUCUGCUAAUUUUUUUUGCCUGCAUGUGUCAUGGAGUCUACAAAUAAGAUUGUGAUAUAAUCUGCUUUUCCUUGUGGUCCUAUAUAUAUACAUAUAUUCUAUUCUAUAGAAUAGAACCACAAGCACUGAAGAAUUGAUGCUUUUGAACUGUGCUGUUGGAGAAGACUCUUGACAGUCCCUUGGACUUCACAGAGAUGAAACCAGUCAAUUCUAAAGGAAAUCAACCCUGAAUAUUAAUUGGAAGGACUGUUUUUGAAGCUGAAGCUCCAAUUUUGGCUACCUGAUGGGAAGGGCUGACUCACUGGAAAAGACCCUGUUGCUGGGAAAGAUUGAAGGCAGAAAGAGAAGAGGGCAACAGAGGAUGAGUUGGUUGGAUGGCAUCACUGACUCAAUGAACAUGAAUCUGAGCAAGCUCCAGGAGUUGGUGAUGGAGAGGGAAGCCUGACAUGCUGCAGUCCAUGGGGUUGCAAAGAGUCGCACACGACUUGGUGACUGAACAACAAAUAUAUAGAAUAGAACCAUAUAUAUACAUAUAUAUCCUGUUGAUCUUUUUUAUUUUAUUUUAUUUUUAAACUUUACAAUAUUGUAUUAGUUUUGCCAAAUAUCGAAAUGAAUCCACCACAGGUAUACCUGUGUUCCCCAUCCUGAACCCUCCUCCCUCCUCCCUCCCCAUACCCUCCCUCUGGGUCGUCCCAGUGCACCAGCCCCAAGCAUCCAGUAUCGUGCAUCAAACCUGGACUGGCGACUCAUUUCAUACAUGAUAUUAUACAUGUUUCAAUGCCAUUCUCCCAAAUCUCCCCACCCUCUCCCUCUCCCACAGAGUCCAUAAGACUGAUCUAUAUAUCAGUGUCUCUUUUGCUGUCUCGUACACAGGGUUAUUGUUACCAUCUUUCUAAAUUCCAUAUAUAUGUGUUAGUAUACUGUAUUGGUGUUUUUCUUUCUGGCUUACUUCACUCUGUAUAAUAGGUUCCAGUUUCAUCCAUCUCAUUAGAACUGAUUCAAAUGUAUUCUUUUUAAUGGCUGAGUAAUACUCCAUUGUGUAUAUGUACCACAGUUUUCUUAUCCAUUCAUCUGCUGAUGGGCAUCUAGGUUGCUUCCAUGUCCUGGC